AACUUAACGUAAACAAAACCAAACAGGUACAAACUCGCCGAGGAGAAAUAAUGGACAAUCCGCGCCCAGACCCCUCUUUGGCAAAUCAACUGAACAUGUCGAAGGCUACGAUCUUGCCACAAGCUGCAUCAACGCAGAACGUUCCAAAGAAGGAACUUCUGCUUCACAAGGGUCACGUGAAAACAGCAACAAUUUAAAGCUAAGCGGGUGCAACUUGAUUUUGACAAGAUUGUAGAAGAUGACAACAUCAGCGACGACUUCGAUAUCGGCUCUUUGUAACCAAAGAGAAUAAGCAUGACAGACUCAUCACAUAUUGUGGUACGAUUAUAAAUUUCAUACAAAAACUAUUUUGCUUUAAUGAUAUCGAUUAAAUUCGAAACAAUUUGCUAUUCUAGAAAUUACUUGAAAAAAUAGGUGUCUUCGCAAAGCUACUUUGUCAAACAUUUUCAAAAAAUUAAAUCUGUCGAUUUAAAGAUUAUUGUAUUCCACGAAAGGUUAGGUCAAACCAUUAAGGCAGCAACAUUUAUUUUAUUCUGUCACAAUAAAGUUCAAGACACCAAACUAAUAGUCUCAAGUCCAGACCAAAUCUAAGUACUACUGUAAAGUUUAAGGAGUUGGAAAUAUACAUCCCAAAAUAAGCUGUGUAUAUUUGGUCAAGUUAGAAAUCACAUUUUGAAAGACUGAAACGUAAAGCAGCCAACUGAAAAUUCAAUUUACAUUUUUUGUUGCAUAAGGGCAAAAUCCUAGCCUAGACAUCAAAAUUCCUUACACUAACUGGAACAUUUAUUUUGGUUGUAACAACGUGUUACUAAAAAUGAUCAACUAGUGACUGACCUACGACUAGAAGGACCAACUAGUCUUUUAAAAAUGAACUGGACUAAUUACGAGCUGUAUGAUCAAGCGGACUCCAACGAAGCAAGUGUGGAUAUCAAAAAGCCAAGAAGUUGUUGGAGCUGAUAAACACAGAUGUGCGUGAUCCGCUUCCCACACAAUCGCUGGUGGGAUCAAAGUAUUUCCAGACUUUCAGUGACGACAAGUCCAGGAGGUUUUUGUGUUCUUCUAGCGCAGGAAGGACGAAGUGCUGUCGAAAUUCAAGGAGUUCCAGGUUCUGGUUGAGCGGCAACUUCGUCUUUGAAUUCGUCAACAAGGAAUUUGAUGACUUUCUGACUUUUUGACAACGGUAUCGCUAGGCAGCUUACUGUAGAGUAUAGCGUUCAGCAAAAUAGAAAUUAGUGGAAAUGUCUAGUUGUCUUCUCGUGGAGUCCGGAUUAGGUGAAUCCUUGUCGGCUGAGGGUGUUAACACAGCUUUUUAUUUGCGAAAUCGGACCGGUAAGAAGCCAUAUGUUAACCAUCAAAAGAUUUUUGGUUCAAUUGCAGUUGCCCUGGACAGGGGUCCACGCAGGGGGAGCAAAUUUCAACCUAAAGUCAAAAGGUAUACAGCAGCCAAAGGCUACCGUCUUUAUGAUUCAACUGCUCAGCUAGUAGUAGGCGAACGCGAUGUCCUAUUUGAUGAGCAUCAUGUUCUGGCAGCUGACGAUAAUAAGGCCCAUUUCGAUAUUUUUCCGGGGACCGAUAUGAUUUGUGGCAA
Long non-coding RNA from Drosophila gunungcola (fruit fly), 1588 nucleotides. RefSeq lists it as uncharacterized. The record is from RefSeq and is a predicted model, not a curated record. The transcript is spliced from 3 exons. NCBI's taxonomy places the organism in Eukaryota, Metazoa, Arthropoda, Insecta, Diptera, Drosophilidae.